AUUGAACGCUGGCGGCAUGCUUUACACAUGCAAGUCGAACGGUACAGGGAGCGUUGCUCCGCUGACGAGUGGCGAACGGGUGAGUAAUAUAUCGGAACGUACCCAAGAGGUGGGGAUAACGUAGCGAAAGUUACGCUAAUACCGCAUACGAUCUAAGGAUGAAAGGCAGGGGACCGCAAGGCCUUGUGCUCCUGGAGCGGCCGAUAUCUGAUUAGCUAGUUGGUAGGGUAAAGGCCUACCAAGGCAUCGAUCAGUA
RNAcentral lists this ribosomal RNA (256 nucleotides) under uncultured bacterium. RNAcentral's name for it is "partial 16S ribosomal RNA". It matches the Rfam family "Bacterial small subunit ribosomal RNA", at positions 30 to 285 of the family's 1533-position model. The record is from RNAcentral.